GGUGGAGGGAAGCUCAUCAGUGGGGCUACAAGCUGAGUGCGUCACGUCACUCUGUAGCGCGUCCCCUGGGAAGGUCUGAGACUAGGGCCAAAGGCGGCCCUAACAGGGCCCUCCCUGAGCGCGGGGAGGUGAGUUCCCAGAGAGCGGGUCUCCGUGCGAGGGCAGACCGGGCAGGAGAAGCCGAGCUCUCCCGCCGCGGGGAGGGCCUGGUGGAUGCCCCCUUAGCCGGAGCUUGGAACAGACUCACGGCCGGCGCGCUGAGUUCAAUGGCUGAGGUGAGGCACCCGGGGGCCUCAUAACCCAAUUCAGACUACUCUCCCCCGCC
RNAcentral lists this RNase P RNA (325 nucleotides) under Chinchilla lanigera (long-tailed chinchilla). RNAcentral describes it as "Nuclear RNase P (ENSCLAG00000022210.1)". It matches the Rfam family "Nuclear RNase P". From Rfam's summary of the family: Ribonuclease P (RNase P) is a ubiquitous endoribonuclease, found in archaea, bacteria and eukarya as well as chloroplasts and mitochondria. Its best characterised activity is the generation of mature 5'-ends of tRNAs by cleaving the 5'-leader elements of precursor-tRNAs. The record is from Rfam by way of RNAcentral. Lineage: Eukaryota; Metazoa; Chordata; Mammalia; Rodentia; Chinchillidae.